This is a non-coding RNA of Pelobates cultripes (western spadefoot toad), 987 nucleotides long. The record is from the annotation of a GenBank genome assembly. NCBI's taxonomy places the organism in Eukaryota, Metazoa, Chordata, Amphibia, Anura, Pelobatidae.
CUAGGAUUAACCCUGCCUGCUGUAAACAUAGCAGUUUCAGAGAGUUGAUUUUCACAGUGAGAAGAUGCCAGCGUCCAUAGGAAAGCAUUGAGAAUGCUCUUGCUGCGCAUGCGGAUUCAGCCGAUGACGGGAGAAAAAGGAGGAGAUUCCCCAGCACAGAGGAGCUGGAAAAAGUUAGGAAUUUAACCCCUUCCUCACCCUAGAGCCCGGCGGGAGGGGGACCCAGAGUGUGAGGGGGACCCAAGGACCCUAUAGAGCCAGGAAAUGUUUUCCUGGCACUAUAGUGGUCCUUUAAGUUUUGUUAUCUUAUAAAAUAAAAGAAAGAAAGAAGGAAAAUAAGUAAAGGAAGGAAAAGGAGACCCUUGAUUUAUUAUUGAAUAUAGGGAAGGUAAAGAAGAAGAAGGCAGGAAAAGUAGCAAAAAAAGGGGACAUUUCUUUUUAUGGUGACACGUAAUAAAAAUUGGCAGCUAAUACAGCGUUGUUUUGGGUGUUUGUAAUUAAAGGGAAAAGAGGGGGAGAAAAAAGCACUGUGUGGAGUGCAGAUCAAAACGUGGUAAGCGUAAAAGUAGUUGUUAAAUUGUGCAACAAAUUUAGAACCAAUGUCUGAAAAAAAAGAAAUAUGCUCGUGGCUAUUUACCAGAGUAUCUGAAGACACUUGCGCUAAAAAGUUUCAGUUACUGCACAUGGGUGGUAAGGAAAUGUUACCAUCAAGAAAGAUGCAUUAGUGGGCAGUAGGUAUAAAAAGGUUGACUACCCCUGAUCUAAAUGGUCCCUUUACAGGAAGUGUGCUGACAUCACAUGCCAAACAGGUUACCCUUCAGGGUCAUAAUCAUCAUCACCGUAGUCUGAUAAGAAAAUGGGGCUAGAGUACUUAUCGGGGAGAUAGUUGAACUCAUUAUAUUGUUAUUAUGUUAAAUUAAUACAUUAAAGAAUUGUAUUGUUUGCAAAUGUAUAUGUUUUAUGCUAAAUAAAAUAGCAAAAGUUCAG